RNAcentral lists this long non-coding RNA (880 nucleotides) under Serinus canaria (Common canary). Its description in RNAcentral is "lncRNA (ENSSCAG00000017323.1)". Lineage: Eukaryota; Metazoa; Chordata; Aves; Passeriformes; Fringillidae. The record is from RNAcentral.
AUUUUCCCUCCAGAGAUUACUGAGGAAGAAAUUUAUCAAGGAGGUGCCAGUGGAUGGGGCCACCUGCAUGGAGAGAUGGAUCUGCACCAUUCACAGCAAGUUUGCCUUACCAAAUACAGAGUACCCAGACAUCAGCCCAGCCCUGUUUAUUCUGAGAAUUCAAAGAUUUAUUAGGUACACAGUUAAGUGCCAUUUAGCUUUGCAGAACUGUCAUCACCAGCGCCUUAUGAAUGGGAUCUUUCACUGACAAACUUUUUAAACACUAAAAGAGGGGGAAAUUUACUGCUCCAGGUCAAUGAAGAAGCCAAGAUCAACUGAAACUCGGCUGUGUUUCUCCUUGAAUACAGGAAUAUGAUGAAGGUGCUCAGAAUUUUCUUUAAUGUAUUCUCAUCCUUAAUUUAUCCUCACACGUCAAAUGGACUGUUACUCUGUUUUGCAGUGCUACUUUUCCUAAAAUAAUGCUUUUUUCAUUCUGACAGCUUGCAAGAGCCCAGAGAUCUAAAAAUAUAGCUAAAUAGGCAGUCACACUCCUGCUAAUUUAGGCUACGGAUAAGCUGUGGCCAGUUAUGCAGGCAGUGACAACCAAUUCCAGUCAAGGAAGUUUUUUCAAAAAAAAGUGAGGAGAGUUCUGUGGAUCAAAUGCAGUCCUGGAUGUGAGAGCCUGGGAGUAGGUGUCCCCUCAUAAUCUUAAAAAAAAUUCUUACUAUAUUUCUGAUCCAGAUCUGCCACAAGUGCAGAGUGGUGUGUUCUUUCUUCAGAUUCCCAAGAAUUCCUCCUGCCAGGUUGGGCAGGUGUCGGCAAUGGAGAGAGAUGGGGAGACUGACUCGGUGAUCAGAAUCCGAUUUUUUUGUGGGAUACAAGCACUUAUGUACUCUUUCAC